AUCUCCUACGGGACGCAGCAGUGGGGAAUAUUGCACAAUGGGGGGAACCCUGAUGCAGCGACGCCGCGUGGGUGAAGGAGUAUUUCGGUAUGUAAAGCCCUAUCAGCAGGGAAGAACAAUGACGGUACCUGACUAAGAAGCACCGGCUAAAUACGUGCCAGCAGCCGCGGUAAUACGUAUGGUGCAAGCGUUAUCCGGAUUUAUUGGGUGUAAAGGGCGUGUAGGCGGGAGCGCAAGUCAGAUGUGAAAACUCAGGGCUCAACCCUGAGCCUGCAUUUGAAACUGUGUUUCUUGAGGGCUG
This 301-nucleotide ribosomal RNA is filed under the name uncultured bacterium. RNAcentral describes it as "bacterial SSU rRNA". It matches the Rfam family "Bacterial small subunit ribosomal RNA", at positions 334 to 651 of the family's 1533-position model. The record is from RNAcentral.